This 8287-nucleotide unclassified non-coding RNA is filed under the name Hevea brasiliensis (rubber tree). Lineage: Eukaryota; Viridiplantae; Streptophyta; Magnoliopsida; Malpighiales; Euphorbiaceae. The record is from RNAcentral.
UUUCAAUUUGAUCGAAGAGAACCAAAAACAGUACAGGCAGAGUUAACGGAUCAAACCAAAAUUUACCAACUCUAAUGUUUCCAAAAAUGAUUAGAAACUCCAAUCUUCAAUAGAUUGUUCUCACGCUAUAAUAAUAUUACAUUCGGAUAAAGCCAGCAUAGUUGUAACUAUAAUUUCAAAAUAAGUUAGCUCAGAGAAACAGGGCUCAAACCCUGGCUGAACUAAAAAUCAUGUUAGUAACAUGUUAAACAUGCUACAAGUAUAUAACAUCUUUUUGAGUGUAAUGUUUUAUAUUCCUCCGUAUUGUAGCCUUCCCCCUUCCCUUGUGAGUUUGCCAAAAUGAUUCAUUGUCCCACAUCACUUGUGAAUAGUGUGCUAGCCUAUAUAUCCAUACUAGAUUAGCUAGCAAGCAAUCAACUAAUAAUAUUCAAUUAAGACAUUCUUUUUACUGCUGUGAAGACUUGAUUUGCGUUCAUGAGUGCUAAAAUUUGAUAUCAAAAACUCAGCUGACAUACAUGGAUGAAGAUUAACGAGAAUGUGUGCUAAUAAGAUGGCACAUGCCAAAAUCAGAUAAAUAUUAGCACAGAGAGGCAUCACUAGGUUCUGACAACUUUAGCAUAUUCCUACAUGCUGAUCUUUCUGAGAGUGUUCACAUAAGUAUAGCUGGAAAAUGAAACAAAAAGUUUCCGGAACCAAACCCAUUGGCUUGAGUGUUCUGACAUUGCAUGGAAACUCUUCUGGGGAUGCUCAUUUAGCAAGCAAUGCAUCACUGUUUUAGUGUCUUUGGUAGCUAAUAACAUAGACAACCAAAUAUCAACUGGCCCACUAUACUUGCGGAAAAUGUUGGUACUGACCUGAUUUAGCAAAAUUAGAAAAGGCAACUGUGGCUGUUUGAGAUUCCAGCUAUGAUAGCAAAUGCCUCAAGGACUGUACUUCUUCAUUGGAGGAGAUCCCAAUGGUGGCAGCACGAGCUUUGUUUUCGAAAAAAUCCACUAUCUCAGAAACAUUUGUUUGUGGUGUUGCUGAGCUCAUACAUUUACCUCCAUACCCUUUGGAUAAGUGACCAUGUAGCUUCCAGCAAUGUACCUUAGUAUGCCUUGAUUUUUCACAGUAAUCACAAUGUAAAUGAUCCUUAUCUGAUAGACACUUAAGAGAGACAUGUGACUAUUCUCAAGAGGAAGCAACUACUAACCCUACCUUAUCCGUAGGUAAAGAGUGGAUAAUGACACUUCUCCUGCUUUCCUCCUCUUGUACAUAUGAAUAAGUUUGCCUUAGGGAAGGCAUGGGAUCCUUACAAAGUACUUGGACCCGAAUUUGAUCAUACUCUAUAUUUAACCCAGUAAGGAAGUCAUAGAUCCGUUCUUUUUCAAUCAAUUUUUGGAAUUUAACAGCAUCCGAAGUACAAGUGGCUUGAAAGUCUUGGUAAUAGUCUAGUUCUUGCGACAAACCACUCAAUUCAGUAAAGUAUUAAACAAUGGUCAUCUCACCUUGUUUCGUAUUAUGAACCUUAUUCCGUAUCUCAUAAAUCUGUGCAUAAUUGCCCAUUUGAGAAUAAGUUUGGGACAAAGCACUCUAGAUGGCAGUAGCACUAUUUAAAAGCAGAUAUCCGCGGGCAAUUUGUGGUUGCAUUGAAUUAAUUAACCAGGACAUUACAAGAGAGUUUUCCGAUUCCCAUUAGCUAUGAGCAGAACUACCCGUUUCUAGUUUUGUUUUGUCUCCGGUAACAUAUCCUUGUAGCCCUCUAGCUUGAAUAAACAAUAAAUAGGAUCUUGACCAUGCAAGAUAAUUUGUACCGUCAAGCUUUACGGGGCUAAUCUAUAGGGAAGGAUUGUCAUUCAUUUGGUUCAUUUUUGUUUCAAUCACACCCUUUUCUCAAUCAGCCAUUUUAAUCAAUCAAGCCACAAAAUCCAAUAGCAAUAGGCAAGAAAAAAUGGCAGAGCAGGGCAGCAGAACAAGAAAAGAAUACCCAAAAAAAGGAAAGUGCAAACCAGGGUGUGGGAACCAGUUGAGCAGAGGCGCAACAUUCCAAGGAGAUCAUUGGAAACAGAGGCAGACGGAAAAGAUCGCCGGAGAAAGCUCCAUGCGCCAGCGCGUGACAAGUGGCCGGAAAAUUGUACCAGCGCAUGUGCACACACACGGCACCUGACGGAGGCGUUCUCUCCGGGAAAAGACCAAUUGGCGGCCGGGCUUCCUCCCUGUGCAGGCGGUGUAAGCCAACUCCUCCUUGAAACGUUGUCUAGAAGCUUGCCCAACUCUAAACCCUAACAUUGUCCAAAGAAGGUUAGCAGUGCUCUGAUACCGUGUUGGAAGGAUUCUCAAUAAGAAAAAAUUGUAUUUCUGUAUAUAUUUCUGUUGUACACUCUUCCUAUUUAUAUACAAUAGUCCUAGAUACAAAAGAAGUCUAGAUAUUCUAGGAAACUAAUAAAAAGAAAGAAGAUAACUACAACUAGGAAAGAAGAAAUUCAAUCCCUUUAAUUUAGGGAUUUACAAUCUGGUAGGAUUCCAACAAGUAGAAAAAAAAAUUUGUGGGGAGGAGGCACUAAAGAAUGGAGCCAAAUUUUCUUCAAAAUUGCCUAUUACAUGAUUGCAGGAUGGAAUUUGAACUGCAAUUCAUUUUUGUUCUUGCAUUGUGAUGAUGAAGACUGGAAUAAGUAAAGGCUUAUUGACUUUUAUUAGAGCCAAUUCAUUUUUGUUCUUGCAUUGUGAUGAUGAAGACUGGAAUAAGUAAAGGCUUAUUGACUUUUAUUAGAGCCUCAACUAAGUAGUCAGGGAGCUCGUCUUAUAUCAGAUAAAUAUAUCAGUUUGGAUUAUGUUAUAUGAUGCUUUGGCAAGGUUAUUUUCCUGGAGGAGGAUGUUGAUGAGGGUUUUGUUUCUGCCGGAAUCUCCUUUCUGAUGAACCUAUACCUAUUUCUCAUUUGUUAAACAUGUGAAAAUUGGUUAAGUUAAAAAGGUGCAUUCGAAUUUUUGUCACAUAUGCAGGAGAGAAGAAAAUACUGGAUCAUUCUUCAUUAUGUUGCUUACUUUCUUGGUUAUCAUUUGUGAGAGAUUUGAUGUCUAUGUUGUUCAUUGUGUAUGCUAAUGCUAGCAGUAGUGGUGGGCACGUUGAUGAGUAGGGAAGGUUUCAAGGAUAAGGAAAUUAUAUAAUUAAAUGGACCCUGCUGCCUUAUUCCUGUACUUCUUGUCCAAAAUACUUAGAACAACCAAAAUUUAGGCUAUUGUUUUUGUGAGAAAAAUGUUAAAAGUAGAUAAAUCAUAAUCUAUUUUUCUUUAUGAUCGUUUUUGUAGUUAGAGCUUUAUAGGAGGAUUUUUGAUCCCUCAUAUUGUACACUUUUGGUUUCUUUCUUAAUAUUUUUUUCUUAUAGAACAAAAAUGGAUUAAUCAUAAUCUUUCUCCUUCCCAUGUUAUCUAUCUGAAUGACAUAGAUAAUUGCUUUAGAUAUCUGAUUCAUGGCUUGACAUGCCACUCAAUCAUUGAAUUUCCUAGGUUGCGGAAUAAAAUCUUUAUGAUGUUACUUGGCGUUUACUAUGUUUUACCCUUAUAAGCGGAAAAAUACUAUGCAUAACUUGAAUAAGUUGUAUGGUUAGAUUGCUUUGACUUAAGGGAGAUAAAAAUAGCUUGGUGGAAAAUUAAACGUUGCUUUGCUGUAAGGUUAUAAUUUGCCGUUACUUCAAUAUUUCGUACUUUCUGAUGUAAGUAACGUCUAUGGUUUGUUUGGGAAGGAAUGACUUUGAUAUUCUCUGCUCAAUACUUAUGAUGUUUUGUCAAAUAUUAAUUUGUUUCCAUCUUUUUCUUUAAAAAAUACAGUUUGAAACAAUACCUGACCCAGAGCUUCCAGGACACCUUCUUCUGGAACAGUACCAGGCCCAGCUAGUAUCUGCUGUCCGCACUUCCUUGGAUACUUCUUCUGGCCCUAUUCUUCUGGAGGCAGGUCUGCAGUUGGCUACUAAGAUAAUGACAAGUGGAAUACUGGGUGGUGAUCAAGUUGCUGUCAAACGAAUAUUUUCAUUAAUUUCUCGGCCACUGAAUGAGUUUAAUGAUGUUUAUUAUCCUUCAUUUGCAGAAUGGGUCUCGUGCAAGAUCAAAAUAAGACUUUUGGCUGCUCAUGCCUCUCUCAAAUGUUACACAUUUGCAUUCUUGAGGAGACAUCAUAGUGGGGUUCCAGAUGAGUAUCUUGCACUAUUACCAUUGUUCUCAAUGAGUUCAAAUAUUCUGGGGAAGUACUGGAUUGGUGUUCUGAAGGACUACAGUUACAUUUGCUUGCACUUGAACCUCAAGAAAAAUUGGAAACCAUUCCUUGAUGGAAUUCAAUCACCUCUAGUUUCAUCAAGAUUGAUUCCUAGUUUAGAAGAAGCAUGGCCAGUAAUUUUACAAGCACUUGCUUUGGAUGCUGUUCCUUCAAAUGUGGAUGGAGGUUUUAGGACAGCUAUUGAAAAUACUUCACAAAAUAGUUUAAUAUCUAAUUAUAGCAUGGUUGAAUUGGAGUUGGAGGAAUAUCAAUUUCUAUGGAGCUUUGCUUUGCUUGUUCUAUUUCAGCAACACCAUCCAGCAAUUAAUAGACAAGUAAUACGUCUAAACACGGCUGAUGUUCGAUAUGGUGGAGAUUCACCAAUUGAAGAAACAAAUUCCACAACGUUGAAGUUAUAUGAAAUUGUGCUGCCCGUUUUCCAGUUUUUAUCAUCAGAAAGAUUUUUCACUGCUGAGUUUCUUACUGCAGAUAUUUGUCAAGAGUUGCUGCAGGUUUUCUCAUACUCCAUUUACAUGGAUAAUUAUUGGAAUAGUCUGGCCAUUUCAGUUCUAUCACAGGUAAUCUUCCAAAGUAAUCCCAAGUUUAUAUUCUGAAAUUUAAAGAGAUUCAGUUUUCUUUUCUGAGGUUUCUGAUUAAGAGGAAUUAAUUGUAGCGUCAUGGCAUUUUGUUGAACCUUGCAUUUUACCAUACCAAUAGCAAAGAAUUGAAUGUUCUCAGCAUCCCAUUUGGAGAAGUCUUUUUCAUUGGUUGGAAUGCAAACAACCCAUUGCAAUAUGUGUGUGAGAUUGUGUAGCUACCGUAACAUUUACUAAAACAGUAGGAGAUGAUUACAUGUUAUGUAUACAUGACUACUUAGUCAAUAUUUUGGUCUUAGUAAAUUGCAUAUUUGUCCUUUUACAAUUUAUAUUUGUAUCCAUUUUAUAUGCAUUCGUAUUAGAGGCGCUUAGUACUAGUAGUUUGUACUGUGAAUUGCCAUGUUCCUAAGUGAGAUAUUUUCAAUCACCACUUAAACUUGGGGAAGUUUGUUUUUUGCCAAUGACCUAUUGUCCUUUGCUGAUCAGCAUUAUCAUCUGUUUUUCCUCUAAGACUUCUUCUUCUUCAUCCUUUCUAUAGUGCUCUGAAGUUCUGAGAUGCAAGUUUUACCUAUAACAAAUGGUAUCAAAGCAGUUCUGAUCCAUCCUUUAGCUCUUAUUCUUCUUUGAUAUUUUUUUCUUGUUUCUUAAUUCUUCGGAUUUCUCAAUCUUCAUCUUUGCAUCAGAAAAUACAAGCCCCAUAUUCUAAUUAAUCAUUUAUGUAUAUGAAUUUUAUAUCAAAUUUUCCGCUUAAAUACCUAAUUAUGGUUUGACGCCUAUGCCUUGUAGAGAAUGUUAGCAUGAUUAUGAAGUGCCACAUUAUGUUUUGGAUACAUGAGCUGAGCUGAGUGAAAUUAUUGUCUGAACAGAUUGUGCAGAAUUGCCCUGAUGAAUUUCUUGAAGCAGAAAAUUCUGGUUAUCUGGUUGUAGAACUUCUUUUGGCUUAUAUCUUCAAUGUUUUAGAGAGGUCACUGAUUUUACAUUGAUAUUGGAAAUUAAUUUAGUAUAAAACAUUCAGAUGGUUUGUAUUCCUUCAAAUACUGUUGGCUAAUAUUUCUAUACUUUUUGGUGCUCAGCACUGAUGAAUCUGGUCACCCUAACUGGGAGGACUUGGUGUCUCCACUAUUUAUCACGGCAAAGACAAUUGUGAGGCGUUUUGAGCAAAAGAUGCAGAAGAAAUUAAAAUCUGUAGCACUGGCCUUUCUAUUAGUUGGCUACAAGUGCAUGCGAGAAGCUUCAACUGAAUUAUGCUUUUCAGCAGUUAAUGAUUUUGUCAGAUGCACCAACCCCUUGUUGAAGGAAUUUGUUGACGAUUCUGAGCAUGGUGAUGAUGGAAGUCCCCGUCUGAGAGCAAUCCUUGGAACUUGCCUGAAUUUGAUUGCUGAUUUGACCAAGGAUUGCAUCAAGGGCAUACAUUUUGUGGAGAAUAAAAGAUCUGAGUCACGCAAGCUAUUGCAAUUAAAGCUUUCUUUCUCGCUUGAACAAACAAUUUCAUUGGCGAAGGUAGCUUGUCAAAUGAAAUGUCUCGGAGAAACCAAAAGCAGAAGCCCUUUCUGUUUUACUGUGUUCAAGUACUGCAGUAAAUAUUUCCAAACUGUACUGAGCGACUCAAAUCUACAGGUUCAAGCAAUUGGAUUGCAAGUUCUGAAAACCACAUUACAGAGGAGCACCGACAAGGAAGACAUUACUUUCCUCAUAUUCUUUUGUGGAGAGCUUGUUACAGAUAUCUUAACCAUGAUGCAGACAAAGUUGAAGAAACCUGCUAGUAAAGAAUCUGUAGUUAUUGCUGGCGAGGGCUUGAGAUUCCUAGCACUUCUACAAACAGUUUCAAAGGCUAGUGAAUGUCAGAGAGGUUUUAUGACCCUGCUUCUCAAUGCCAUUGUCAUGGUCUUCUUGGCAUUGGAUGAUAACUCUUCACAGGAAGUCAUUGAUUUAAGAAGCACUGCUGUAAGGCUUGUUUCUCAUCUUGCUCAAGUUUCUUCCUCAGCUGUUCACUUCAAGGAUGUCUUGUUAUCAAUGCCUCCAACACAUAGGCAACAGCUUCAGGGGGUUAUUCGUGCAUCUGUAGCACAAGAUUACAAUGCAAUGCUGAUGAAACCUACAACACCUUUAGAAAUAAAGUUACCAGUGCCAAAAGAUUCCAGACCAUUGGCUGUAUCAUCAUUUCCCGCAGACGAGAUUAAAGAGAAAAAUUCUCCCCCAUCAGCAGCUUCUACUAGUUCUGACAAGGAUAGUGUGGAUGAGGGACAAGAUGAUGAAGAUGACUGGGAUGCUUUCCAGUCUUUCCCUGCCUCUACAGAUACAGCUGGAAAUGAUUCAAAAGUUGAGAGUGUUGCAGAAGAAUCUGGAGUGGCCAAAACUUUUGUUUCGGAAAUCAAAUCUGGAAUUGAUGACAUUCAGGAGUUUUCUACAUCACAGCCUAUAAACAAAGAUGAUAUGGAAGUAACAGAGCAUCAAGAAGCUGGUGAAAUGGAAGUAAUUUCUGAUAGCUCGGGAGAUGAAAAUAAGAUGGAAGGAAACCAUGAUGUCUCUGCACAACUAAAUGAUCAACCUAAAAGAGAAGAGAAACUGGUGCGAAGCCAAGAGAGUGAAGAAGGAGCAGAAUCAAGCCAAGGAAAUAUGAAGAUCUCAUCUGAUCUUCAAUCUGUUGCAGAUGCAGAAGGAUUGAUUCAAGUGAAUGUAGGGGAGGAGUAUGAACAGUUAAAGGGGAGCCAAGGAAAUGAUAUUGAUCUUCUAGUAUCAUCAGGUGAUCUUCAACCAGUUGAAGAAAGAGGAUCAGUUGAAGUCAGUCUAGCUGAGGGCCAUAAUAAAAAUGAUAUUCCAGCAACAUCUGACAGUUUGCCUCCUGAAAAACCUUUUGAUAGAGAAAGCCAAUGAAAACAGACAAUGAAGCCUGCAGAAAAACUUUGUGGAGCAGUUUUUAUACUCAAAUUGAAGGAUGAAAAUAAAAAUAAUGACCGGCAUCAAGAGAGAGGUGAUUAUCUGGAAUUAUCAAAUGCUCAAGAAAAUUAGUAAAACAUACAGUAAUUUCCACAUAGAACAGCAUAUAUAAAAAGCUGAUGAGGACGAUGUGAACAGAACAAUGGUUGUAAACAAGUCAGCGACAGAGUGUUGACCAUUUGGAAUUUGCCAAAGUGCCUAGAGUCACUCAGUUGGACAGAUGAUUUGUGUAAUAUGUUGUUAAUGAUGGGGGGUUUGUUAUAAACUAGGUCUAAAAGGGCGAUUGAUUGUUAUCCAAUUAGUUUGUGCUUGAAUUGUCUAGAUAUGUCAGUUCGAUUCACGUGCUAUUCUUCAGACCAAUUUUUAUCUAUUCACUCAAAUGUUUUUACCUGAAAAUAUUGGAGGCACGAUCCUACAUGGCUGUUCGAUUUUGCUAUCAGUCAUGCUUUUAUAUUCCAAGUGUCUCAGCAUUGUUAUUGCCCUUGGGAUCAUAAUGAAAUUCUAAAUUUUAUACACAUUUUCUCCAUCA